This 809-nucleotide ribosomal RNA is filed under the name uncultured bacterium. RNAcentral describes it as "bacterial SSU rRNA". It matches the Rfam family "Bacterial small subunit ribosomal RNA", at positions 29 to 858 of the family's 1533-position model. The record is from RNAcentral.
ACGAACGCUGGCGGCGUGCCUAACACAUGCAAGUCGAGCGGAGUAUGUAGCAAUAUAUACUUAGCGGCGGACGGGUGAGUAACACGUGGGUAACCUGACCUACAGAGGGGGAUAGCCAUCCGAAAGGGUGAUUAAUACCGCAUAAACCGUAGCGUACGCAUGUACGAAACGGCAAAGAGAUAUCGCUGUAGGAGGGGCCCGCGGCCCAUUAGCUGGUUGGAGAGGUAAAGGCUCACCAAGGCGACGAUGGGUAGCCGAUCUGAGAGGAUGACCGGCCACAUUGGAACUGAGACACGGUCCAGACUCCUACGGGAGGCAGCAGUGGGGAAUAUUGCGCAAUGGGGGAAACCCUGACGCAGCAACGCCGCGUGGAGGAAGAAGGCCUUCGGGUCGUAAACUCCUGUCUUUUGGGACGAAAGGAUGACGGUACCAAAGGAGGAAGCCACGGCUAACUACGUGCCAGCAGCCGCGGUAAUACGUAGGUGGCAAGCGUUGUCCGGAAUUACUGGGCGUAAAGGGUGCGUAGGCGGUAUAUUAAGUCAGAUGUGAAAACCCAGGGCUCAACUCUGGGAGUGCAUUUGAAACUGGUAUACUGGAGUGCAGGAGAGGGAAGCGGAAUUCCUGGUGUAGCGGUGAAAUGCGUAGAUAUCAGGAAGAACACCAGUGGCGAAGGCGGCUUUCUGGACUGUAACUGACGCUGAGGCACGAAAGCGUGGGGAGCAAACAGGAUUAGAUACCCUGGUAGUCCACGCUGUAAACGAUGAGUGUUAGGUGUAGGGGGAGAAGUCCUUCUGUGCCGCAGUAAACGC